Molecule: unclassified non-coding RNA, 287 nt
Filed under: Hevea brasiliensis (rubber tree)
Lineage: Eukaryota; Viridiplantae; Streptophyta; Magnoliopsida; Malpighiales; Euphorbiaceae
Source: RNAcentral
GCUCUCUCCUCUUCUCGUCCAAUGUAUAACUUCCCCAUCUAAAUAAUUCUCUCUUUCCCCAGAAAACACCACCGACUCAGUCAUGGCACAGACACCGAUUCAGCUAACCACCUUCUUCUCCUUCUUCAUCUUCUUGUCUUCCUUUCAACUCGAUCCCACAACCGUGCACGGCCUCUCGACCAAUUCAACCACCACCGUCCUUCUAGAUGGGGCCCGACCUGCCAUGGUAUUGCCGCUCUUUCUCUCUCCUCCAAAUUCUUCCAAAUCACCGUCGAAUCUGCAUCGCC